GCCCCCGUAGCUCAGAGGAUCAGAGCAGCGGACUUCUAAUCCGACGGUCGCAGGUUCGACUCCUGCCGGGGGCG
Molecule: transfer RNA, 74 nt
Filed under: Acidimicrobiia bacterium
Lineage: Bacteria; Bacillati; Actinomycetota; Acidimicrobiia
Description: tRNA-Arg
Rfam family: tRNA
About the family: Transfer RNA (tRNA) molecules are approximately 80 nucleotides in length.
Source: RNAcentral